Molecule: ribosomal RNA, 489 nt
Filed under: uncultured bacterium
Lineage: Bacteria
Description: bacterial SSU rRNA
Rfam family: Bacterial small subunit ribosomal RNA
Source: RNAcentral
GACGAACGCUGGCGGCGCGCCUAACACAUGCAAGUCGAACGGGUUCUUUUGGGAGCUUGCUCCUGGCAGAACUAGUGGCGGACGGGUGAGUAACACGUGAGCAACCUGCCUUUCAGAGGGGGAUAACGUCUGGAAACGGACGCUAAUACCGCAUAACAUCGCGGGGCCGCAUGGUCCUGCGAUCAAAGGAGCAAUCCGCUGGAAGAUGGGCUCGCGCCCGAUUAGAUAGUUGGUGAGGUAACGGCUCACCAAGUCUGCGAUCGGUAGCCGGACUGAGAGGUUGAUCGGCCACAUUGGGACUGAGACACGGCCCAGACUCCUACGGGAGGCAGCAGUGGGGAAUAUUGCACAAUGGGGGAAACCCUGAUGCAGCGACGCCGCGUGAGUGAAGACGGCCUUCGGGUUGUAAAGCUCUGUUGUGGGGGACGAUAAUGACGGUACCCCACUAGAAAGCCACGGCUAACUACGUGCCAGCCGCCGCAGUAACAC